AGCCUGAACGCUGGCGGCGUGGCUAAGACAUGCAAGUCGAACGGGUGUAGCAAUACACCAGUGGCGGACGGGUGAGUAAUAAAUCGCUAAUGUACCCCGGAGCCAGGGAUAGCCUUCCGAAAGGGAGGGUAAUACCUGAUGAGACCACGAACAGGCAUCUGUUUGUGCUCAAAGCCGUAAGGCACUCUGGGAGCAGGCGAUUACGUAUCAGCUUGUUGGUGAGGUAACGGCUCACCAAGGCGACGACGCGUAGCUGGUCUGAGAGGACGGCCAGCCACAUUGGGACUGAGACACUGCCCAGACUCCUACGGGGGGCUGCAGUAACGAAUCUUCCGCAAUGCACGAAAGUGUGACGGAGCGACGCCGCGUGUAGGACGAAGUCCUUCGGGAUGUAAACUACUGUCAGGGUAAGAAAGUUCUGAUCUACCCAGAGGAAGAGACGGCUAACUCUGCGCCAGCAGCCGCGGU
This 468-nucleotide ribosomal RNA is filed under the name uncultured bacterium. RNAcentral describes it as "SSU rRNA". It matches the Rfam family "Bacterial small subunit ribosomal RNA", at positions 26 to 521 of the family's 1533-position model. The record is from RNAcentral.